UACGGAGGGUGCAAGCGUUAUCCGGAUUCACUGGGUUUAAAGGGUGCGUAGGUGGGCUAGUAAGUCCGUGGUGAAAUCUCUGAGCUUAACUCGGAAACUGCCGUGGAUACUAUUAGUCUUGAAUAUUGUGGAGGUAAGCGGAAUAUGUCAUGUAGCGGUGAAAUGCUUAGAUAUGACAUAGAACACCGAUAGCGAAGGCAGCUUGCUACACAAUUAUUGACACUGAGGCACGAAAGCGUGGGGAUCAAACAGG
RNAcentral lists this ribosomal RNA (253 nucleotides) under uncultured bacterium. RNAcentral's name for it is "partial 16S ribosomal RNA". It matches the Rfam family "Bacterial small subunit ribosomal RNA", at positions 524 to 776 of the family's 1533-position model. The record is from RNAcentral.